RNAcentral lists this ribosomal RNA (352 nucleotides) under uncultured Streptococcus sp. RNAcentral's name for it is "bacterial SSU rRNA". It matches the Rfam family "Bacterial small subunit ribosomal RNA", at positions 1028 to 1382 of the family's 1533-position model. Lineage: Bacteria; Bacillati; Bacillota; Bacilli; Lactobacillales; Streptococcaceae. The record is from RNAcentral.
UCGGUGACAGGUGGUGCAUGGUUGUCGUCAGCUCGUGUCGUGAGAUGUUGGGUUAAGUCCCGCAACCGAGCCGCAACCCCUAUUGUUAGUUUGCCAUCAUUCAGUUGGGCACUCUAGCGAGACUGCCGGUAAUAACCGGAGGAAGUGGGAUGACGUCAAUCAUCAUGCCCCUUAUGACCUGGGCUACACACGUGCUACAAUGGUUGGUACAACGAGUUGCGAGUCGGUGACGGCGAGCUAAUCUCUUAAAGCCAAUCUCAGUUCGGAUUGUAGGCUGCAACUCGCCUACAUGAAGUCGGAAUCGCUAGUAAUCGCGGAUCAGCACGCCGCGGUGAAUACGUUCCCGGGCCUU